GACGAACGCUGGCGGCGUGCUUAACACAUGCAAGUCGAACGGAAAGGCCUCUUUCGGGGGGUACUCGAGUGGCGAACGGGUGAGUAACACGUGAGUAACCUGCCCUUGACUUUGGGAUAACUUCAGGAAACUGGGGCUAAUACCGGAUAGGAGCUCCUGCCGCAUGGUGGGGGUUGGAAAGUUUCGGCGGUUGGGGAUGGACUCGCGGCUUAUCAGCUUGUUGGUGGGGUAGUGGCUUACCAAGGCUUUGACGGGUAGCCGGCCUGAGAGGGUGACCGGCCACAUUGGGACUGAGAUACGGCCCAGACUCCUACGGGAGGCAGCAGUGGGGAAUAUUGCACAAUGGGUGGAAGCCUGAUGCAGCAACGCCGGGUGCGGGAGGACGGCCUUCGGGUUGUAAACCGCUUUCGCUCAUGACGAAGCUUUGUGUGACGGUAGUGGGUAAAGAAGCACCGGCUAACUACGUG
This 467-nucleotide ribosomal RNA is filed under the name uncultured bacterium. Its description in RNAcentral is "partial 16S ribosomal RNA". It matches the Rfam family "Bacterial small subunit ribosomal RNA", at positions 28 to 507 of the family's 1533-position model. The record is from RNAcentral.